AUUAUUUGUAUUACAUUAUAUAUUUAUUUAUUUUCAUGUAUAUUAUAGUACCAAUUUCUUAUAAAUCUAGAAUAUUGCCUCUGCCCUAUAAAGGGCAGAGCCCUUUCUUCUCCUUCCGCACCGCGCGCGAUCUAGCCCUAACCGCCGCAUUUCUUAUAAAUCUAGAAAUGUGAUAUAAUAUUUGUUCCCUAUUUCUUCCUUCUUCCAGGUCGACGUCUCUCUGCCGUCGUCACCGAAGUCCCCAUCGAGUCUCCGCACCGACCGCCGUCUCUCCGCCGUCAAACUACAGGUAUGUCGAGAUGGAUCUAUUAGUGGUACAAUUAGUGCUAUAAUUAGUGGUACAAUUAGUGGUCUAAAUUAGUGGUACAAUUAUGAUAUAUUUAAUUUUUAGCAAAAUGCUAUACACUAAACCCUAAACCUAAGCCCUAAACCCUAAACUCUAACCCCUGAACCCUAAACCCUAAACCCUCAACCCUAACCCCUAAACCCUAAACCCUAAACCCUAAGCUCUAAACACAUAUACUCUCUCUCUCUCACUUAUUUGUGAUCGGUUCAGAUCAUGCCACUUUUGUUAGCAAAUGAUGUAAACCCUAAGCCGUAAACCCUAAACCUUGAAACCUAAGCCGUAAACCCCAAACCCUUAGCCGUAAACUGUUGCGGAAAACCCUAAGUUGUAAACCCUAGUUUUAUAUAUUGUUUCCUUGUCAGGUAUACACAAUAGUGCUAGUAGUCAUGUGUCACCAAUUUCUUAUAAAUCUAGAAUAUUGCCUCUGCUCAAAUUCAUAUAUAUUUAUUUAUUUUCAUGUAUAUUAUAGUACCAAUUUCUUAUUUAUUUUCACGUAAUAUAUAUACGAUGUUCUUUAAUGUAAUUAGUGAUGUUCUAUGGUGUAUUUAGUUUUUUCACGUAAUAUAUAUUUGAUGUUCUUUAACAUAUUUUAGCGAUGUUCACAUAGUAUACAUAUAGUGUUCUGUGAUGUAUUUAGUGAUGUUCACACAAUAUAUAUGCGAUGUGAUGUUUUAUAAUUUAUUUAGUGAUAUUCUAUGGUGUAUUUAGUAAUGUUCACUUACUAUUAGUGGUAGAAUUAGUGCUAUAAUUAGUGGUACAAUUAGUGGUAUAAAUUAGUGGUACAAUUAUGAUAUAUUUAAUUAUUAGCCAGUGAUAUACUCUAAACCCUAAACCUAAGCCCUAAGCCCUAAGCCCUAAGCCCUAAACCCUAACCCCUAAACCCUAAACCCUAGUUUUAUAUAUUGUUUCCUUGUCAGGUAUACACAGUAGUGCUAGUAGUCAUGUGUCACAUAUUUCUGCAGAAAUGGCCGAUCCGAGAGAACACGAAGAGGAAAUGAUGAACCUGAUCUGCGGUCCCACUGAAGAAGUUUAUCACGAUGAUCGCGAAGGUGAUGAGAACCCUGAGGGCAUCGAUGACUGCUCUCAGUAUUUGGUCGACCCGAAUGAGCAAGACAAUGCUGGCCAGCAGGUCUAUAAUAUGGCAGUCUCCUUUGUUUUUACAGAUAUAAUUCAAAAUAAUAUCUUGUAUUAAAUUGUCUUGUUUCUUUCUAUAUAGCCCUCUGGCUCGACGACAACCACGGGGACCAGCCGGAGAGUACGAGACCCAAAGAAGCCUAUGGAGGGCCGGUUAGUAAUAUCAGAAUUCGAGGAAGCAAC
This 1663-nucleotide long non-coding RNA is filed under the name Sorghum bicolor (sorghum). RNAcentral describes it as "long non-coding RNA (SBIC_LNC013625)". Lineage: Eukaryota; Viridiplantae; Streptophyta; Magnoliopsida; Poales; Poaceae. The record is from RNAcentral.